RNAcentral lists this ribosomal RNA (186 nucleotides) under uncultured bacterium. RNAcentral's name for it is "partial 16S ribosomal RNA". It matches the Rfam family "Bacterial small subunit ribosomal RNA", at positions 329 to 509 of the family's 1533-position model. The record is from RNAcentral.
AGAGAGAGCCUACGGGAGCAGCAGUAGGGAAUUUUCGUCAAUGGGCGCAAGCCUGAACGAGCAAUGCCGCGUGAACGAGGAAGGUCUUCGGAUCGUAAAGUUCUGUUGAAGGGGAAAAAGAGCGGAGAGAGGAAAUGGUCUCCGAUUGAUAUUACCCUUCGAGGAAGUCACGGCUAACUACGUGCC